GAAUUCACUAGUGAUUCAGGCCUAACACAUGCAAGUCGAACGCACAGCGAAAGGUGCUUGCACCUUUCAAGUGAGUGGCGAACGGGUGAGUAACACGUGGACAACCUGCCUCAAGGCUGGGGAUAACAUUUGGAAACAGAUGCUAAUACCGAAUAAAACUUAGUGUCGCAUGACACAAAGUUAAAAGGCGCUUCGGCGUCACCUAGAGAUGGAUCCGCGGUGCAUUAGUUAGUUGGUGGGGUAAAGGCCUACCAAGACAAUGAUGCAUAGCCGAGUUGAGAGACUGAUCGGCCACAUUGGGACUGAGACACGGCCCAAACUCCUACGGGAGGCUGCAGUAGGGAAUCUUCCACAAUGGGCGAAAGCCUGAUGGAGAAGCGCCGCGUGUGUGAUGAAGGCUUUCGGGUCGUAAAUAACGGUUGUAUGGGAAGAACAGCUAGAAUAGGAAAUGA
RNAcentral lists this ribosomal RNA (452 nucleotides) under uncultured bacterium. RNAcentral describes it as "bacterial SSU rRNA". It matches the Rfam family "Bacterial small subunit ribosomal RNA", at positions 34 to 468 of the family's 1533-position model. The record is from RNAcentral.